GACACAUUUAGGGCUGAGCUGGGCAC
RNAcentral lists this non-coding RNA (26 nucleotides) under Mus musculus (house mouse). Lineage: Eukaryota; Metazoa; Chordata; Mammalia; Rodentia; Muridae. The record is from RNAcentral.